Long non-coding RNA from Vidua chalybeata, 2529 nucleotides. RefSeq lists it as uncharacterized. The record is from RefSeq and is a predicted model, not a curated record. The transcript is spliced from 3 exons. NCBI's taxonomy places the organism in Eukaryota, Metazoa, Chordata, Aves, Passeriformes, Viduidae.
GCGGGUCAUCUUACGGGACACGGUCUGGGGCAGCCCACAGUCCAUAUCUCACCAGUCAGGCUAUUCCUCCCUGGAGUGAGGAUGCCUCUCAAGGUCAUGCCUUGAGGCUGAGAGAAAUGUUUGCCAGUGGUCAUUGGUUUGGGUUCCACCUGCACAUUGGAUGGGAGAGACGGUCACAGAAACCUGUCAGCAAACACAAAGCAAAAGGACCUCUGGACAUUAUGGCAAGGAGAUCUCUGCUCUGAGACCCUGAAUUGCACUAGACAACACUGGGGGCAAAAAGCUCUCGCUGGGGGCUGUGCAAGAGAGGCCAGUGUGUGUGCGGGGACACAGGGCCAGGGAGGGAGCCAGCGGAGUGAAGGUGCCCUAAUGAAAGCCAUGGGCUGCCCCAAGAGAGAGGACAAACAAAAGGGUGUGCCCACAGCAGGGACAGGGAGAGGCAAGGAAACAAGGAGAGGUCUCCAAAGCACUGCCUGGGCUAACGUGCCAAGUUCCAGAGGAGCCUGAGGCUCAGCAAAGGCAGCAAGAGCCCAAUUUACCUGCUCACCACUUCUCCUGGGCACAGUGGAUAAUUCAGGCCUCUCUCUCUUCUCCUCCUCUGCUGAUGCAACCGGCUGCUUAGGUUCCAGGCUGGUCCCUGAGCCACAUAACAGCUGUUCCACUUGUGCUCCAACAGCCUGCUGGGUAUUCAGAGAGGAGAUGAUGCCCAUAUUUCAAACACCACAGAAGCUGUCCCUCAGAAAUCUCCAUCUCGGGAAGCAUCCUCAAAGCACCAGCAAUGCAGCUGCUCUUCAGCCCUCAGUACAAAACUCAGCUGGGUUUAGUUCAUCACUCUGCUCACCUGCUCCAUUCUUUUGCACCCAGAAUAUAAACCCCCAUGUGUUUGCUCCCCUUGUGUAGGGCAUAGGAGAAGCAGCUCCCCAUGCCUAGCUUCUGGCCUGGAGUUGAUUUGAACAGUAAGCUCCAGAGCUGGAUCAGUCAUUCUGGGCAUGCCAGGAAACAAUCUGGCAGUCAAUGGUCUCUGGCUGGAGCCAGGCAGACAGACAAGGCUGCCUGCUGCAGCCCGGGCUGCUUUACCCAAGCAGGCCUGGACUGACAGGGAUAGAGACCCACCUCUUCAUGGGAAACAGCACUGCAAUGAUUCAGGGACACUGGAGUGGACUGAAGGUCAAUGCCAGUGCCUGCCUGGAUACCAGACUUUCCCUUCAGGAUGUACAAGUGUUUCUGCAGAGACCCUUUUUCUUUCAAAGCAGCAAUCCCAUGCUCCAACUCUUCCUGCCUCCUUUCCUUUGCAGUGCCCAAUUGUUGUGUUCUUUCCUGGUGACUUUGCAUCUCAGGUGCAUGCAUUUAAUUCUUCUUUUCCAGAUCUCUCAUGUGCUGCUGGUUCAAUUCCCGUUCAUGCUGCCAAAAAAGGGAGAAAAAGGGUCACUCAUUCCCUCUCUUGGUUUGCUUUUCAGACCAGAUCUGGAUACCUGCUGCAGGGGCAGGCACAGGCUGCCCCUCUCUCUCUCUGCCCCUUGGGAUGCUGCAGACCUUUGCUGGUUCCCUAUCGCGGCCUGGGGUCCCAGGGGUCUGUCCAGCCCCCUGGGCAGCUGCCACCGUAGGUGUCCCGGAUAGCGCUGUGCUGAUGAGGUGCAGCCUGUCUGGCCCCUCAGGCUAGCUCCCAGCCUCAGGCAACUUUACCGAGCAACUCUGGAGUGAUUUCAGCUCUGUGAGUUCAGCUUUUAAGUGAUUUCAGCUCUGUGCUCACUAUGUGCCUCGGCAGACGCAGGGAUGGAGAGAGGAGAAAUCUGUAUGGAGUUCUGCAGAGAUGUAUUUAUUGGCAGGUCCUGCACAGGGUUCCAGUGACAGCUCUUCUGCCGAACUGGGCAGAGAUGGUGUUUAAGUAGGCUACUGGGGGAUUGGAAAUUGUCCAAUGGCCAGGGUUGAGGAGAAUACAACCUAUAGCCUUACAGAGAGAUAACAAGGGUCCGAGAGCAGAAGAGGGGCUGCUUUGGUCCACUCAUCAUGAAUCUGCAUUUCUUAUCUUAGGGCGAGUGACUGCCAGGGAGGCCUUACAGGGCCUCUGACUGCUACAGUCCCCCCCUUGAUGCUGCUCUUUCCCAGCUCACUCAGCCUGUCCCAGCUUCCUUUCUGCCCUUCCCCGACCUCCUGCAGCUCCACUCUGUAGAGAGCUUGGCAGAAGAAUGGUUAAACAGCAAGGGACAUGAAACUGUAAAAUUGGUCAAAGUAUGAGGGGCUACGUGACUGCUGCAACGGUCAGCAUGACCCUGGGUAUAGAAAUCAGGAUAUGUAGAAAUCAGAGUUUGCAAGAAUCAGAAUGCUGAAAACUGCUUGGUAUGUAGAAAUAGAUAGAGAAGAACCAAAAAGUAUCAAUCACAAGAACAGCAAGAGCAACCGAACAAGGCAGAUGCGCAAAUCACACAGCAACCAAUCAUGAGCUUGGCUUUUGCAAUAUGCAUGAACUAAUUAACAAGUAUAUAUAAACUUUGUAAUUUGUUGCAAUAAACUGAGACUUGAUGAUCAUGA